This 253-nucleotide ribosomal RNA is filed under the name uncultured bacterium. RNAcentral's name for it is "partial 16S ribosomal RNA". It matches the Rfam family "Bacterial small subunit ribosomal RNA", at positions 524 to 776 of the family's 1533-position model. The record is from RNAcentral.
UACGUAGGGUGCGAGCGUUAAUCGGAAUUACUGGGCGUAAAGCGUGCGCAGGCGGUGAUGUAAGACAGUUGUGAAAUCCCCGGGCUCAACCUGGGAACUGCAUCUGUGACUGCAUCGCUGGAGUGCGGCAGAGGGGGAUGGAAUUCCGCGUGUAGCAGUGAGAUGCGUAGAUAUGCGGAGGAACACCGAUGGCGAAGGCAAUCCCCUGGGCCUGCACUGACGCUCAUGCACGAAAGCGUGGGGAGCAAACAGG